AAGUCGUAACAAGGUUUCCGUAGGUGAACCUGCGGAAGGAUCAUUACAAAAGUUAAACACUUGGGGAACGGACUCGCCUUUCGGGGCUCGAGGCCUGACUCCAUUUGUAACAAACUUUCAACCACUUGUGAAUUUGUAACAAAUUUUCUCACCAAUUGACUGUUAACGAAGUUAACAAAUUUUCUCACCAAUUGACUGUUAACGAAGUCUGAUUCAAAUUGUAUUGGUGUUUAUAGACACUAGUAAAAUAUGAAACAACUUUUGGCAACGGAUCUCUUGGCUCUC
Molecule: unclassified non-coding RNA, 285 nt
Filed under: fungal sp.
Lineage: Eukaryota; Fungi
Description: partial internal transcribed spacer region
Rfam family: Eukaryotic small subunit ribosomal RNA (bases 1-46)
Source: RNAcentral